UGCGGUUAUACAAAAAUUAAAUUAAUUUCUUUUAGGAUUUAAUAAAUAAAAAUUUAUUUAAUAAUUUAAAUUUUAAAUUAUAAAGUGAAAUUUUAAUUUAAUUAAAAUUUAUUUAUUUUUAUAACAUUAAUAAAUUUUAUAAAAAACUAGGAUUAGAUACCCUAUUAUAAAAAUUUAAAAUUAAUAAUCUUAAAAUAGUAUAUAAUUUUUUAUAGAAACUUAAAUAAUUUGGCGGUAUUUUAGUUCAUUUAGAGGAAUCUGUCUAAUAAUUGAUAAUCCACGAUUAAAUUUACUUAAUUUUUAAUUUUGUAUAUCGUUGUUAAAAAAAUAUUUUUUGAUAAAAAUAAUAUUUUAAAAUUUAAAUAAAAAAUUAAAUCAGAUCAAGAUGCAGAUUAUAAUUAAGAAUAUGAUGGAUUACAAUAAAUUUUAUUUUAUUUGGAUAUUAAUUUGAAAUAAAUUAAUUGAAAUUGGAUUUAAAUGUAAUUUUAUUAAUUUUGUUAAAAUGAUUUUAAAUUAAAAUAUGUACAUAUUGCCCGUCGCUUUCAUUUAUAAAUUGAAAUAAGUCGUAACAAAGUAGAGGUACUGGAAAGUGUUUCUAGAAAGAU
Molecule: ribosomal RNA, 605 nt
Filed under: Zygaena kavrigini
Lineage: Eukaryota; Metazoa; Arthropoda; Insecta; Lepidoptera; Zygaenidae
Description: partial 12S ribosomal RNA
Source: RNAcentral